RNAcentral lists this small RNA (65 nucleotides) under Archaeoglobus fulgidus. The record is from RNAcentral. Lineage: Archaea; Methanobacteriati; Methanobacteriota; Archaeoglobi; Archaeoglobales; Archaeoglobaceae.
AACAUGUUCAUGCCUGCUUCAAAGCCGGAUUUGGGUAAGAAAGGGAGGCUCCUGAAAAUGGAGAU